Molecule: ribosomal RNA, 777 nt
Filed under: uncultured Neocallimastigales
Lineage: Eukaryota; Fungi; Neocallimastigomycota; Neocallimastigomycetes; Neocallimastigales
Description: partial large subunit ribosomal RNA
Rfam family: Eukaryotic large subunit ribosomal RNA
Source: RNAcentral
UAGAUGCGAGAGUAGAGCAUAUCAAUAAGCGGAGGAAAAGAAACUAACAAGGAUUCCCUUAGUAACGGCGAGUGAAGCGGGAAGAGCUCAAAUUUGAAAUCUUCAAGGUUCUACCUUGACGAAUUGUAGUUUAUAAGAAGUGUUUUCUGUUAGUAAGUUGGCUAAAAGUUCUUUGGAAUAGGACAUCAUAGAGGGUGAGAAUCCCGUAUUUGACCAUUAUUUUCAGCUGUGUGAUACACUUUCAAAGAGUCGGAUUGUUUGGGAAUGCAGUCCAAAAUGGGUGGUAAAUUUCAUCUAAAGCUAAAUACUGGCGAGAGACCGAUAGCGAACAAGUACCGUGAGGGAAAGAUGAAAAGAACUUUGAAAAGAGAGUUAAACAGUACGUGAAAUUGUCAAAAGGGAAGCGUUUGACACCAGUGUUGUUUUCUCGAAAAUCAAUUAAAAAUGGCUAGGAUGUUGUGUUGUAUUGACUUUAUCAGCUUUCUGCACUUUUUUCUUAUCUUUUUUAUGCACUUUUCGUUUAACAAGUCAACAUCAAUUUCUUUUGCUGUAAAAGAGUCAUUGGAAGGUGGCUUUCUUUUCGGAGAAAGUGUUUAUAGCCUUUGGCUUCUGCAAUCGGAGAGAUUGAGGUCUGCAGCGUAGAUCCUUCGGGGUUAGAUGCAUUUGUGCUAAGUUAUAGCCUUUCAUAGACAACUUGUUGACUAUGAUCAGUCAUGUAGCUUACUCGCUUAUGUCUAUUUUACCUACGCUUAGGAUGUUGACGAGACUGUCGAUCUC